RNAcentral lists this unclassified non-coding RNA (211 nucleotides) under plant metagenome. Its description in RNAcentral is "partial contains small subunit ribosomal RNA, internal transcribed spacer 1, and 5.8S ribosomal RNA". The record is from RNAcentral.
AUUCCGAAGGUGAACCUGCGGAAGGAUCAUUCAUAAUAAAGUGUUUUAUGGCACUUUUUAAAAAUCCAUAUCCACCUUGUGUGCAAUGUUAGAUCUCGUCAAUCUUGGCGAGAUUUUUAUACAUCAACUCAUUCUUUAACUAAUUUGUCUGAAAAAUAUUAUGAAUACUUAAUUCAAAAUACAACUUUCAACAACGGAUCUCUUGGCUCUC